RNAcentral lists this transfer RNA (86 nucleotides) under Minisyncoccota bacterium. RNAcentral describes it as "tRNA-Ser". It matches the Rfam family "tRNA". From Rfam's summary of the family: Transfer RNA (tRNA) molecules are approximately 80 nucleotides in length. Their secondary structure includes four short double-helical elements and three loops (D, anti-codon, and T loops). Lineage: Bacteria; Bacillati; Minisyncoccota. The record is from RNAcentral.
GGAAGUGUCGCAUAGUGGCCAAUUGCACACGCUUGGAAAGCGUGAGCCUUCGGGCUUCGUGGGUUCGAAUCCCUCCACUUCCGCCA